GAUUUUCGCAAUGCCCGAAAGGGUCUGACCUAUCCCUGGAGGAAGCACGGGCUAAGUUCGUGCCAGCAGCCGCGGUAAGACGAACCGUGCGAACGUUGUUCGGAAUCACUGGGCUUAAAGGGCGCGUAGGCGGGCCGCAAAGUCAGGGGUGAAAUCCUCCAGCUCAACUGGAGAACUGCCUUUGAUACUGGCGGCCUGGAGUAAGGUAGGGGCAUGCGGAACUGAUGGUGGAGCGGUGAAAUGUGUUGAUAUCAUCAGGAACUCCGGUGGCGAAAGCGGCGGACUGGACCUCUUCUGACGCUGAGGCGCGAAAGCCAGGGGAGCAAACGGGAUUAGAUACCCCGGUAGUCCUAGCCGUAAACGAUGGGCACUAAGUAGAGGGGUUUU
This 387-nucleotide ribosomal RNA is filed under the name uncultured Planctomycetota bacterium. RNAcentral's name for it is "bacterial SSU rRNA". It matches the Rfam family "Bacterial small subunit ribosomal RNA", at positions 447 to 832 of the family's 1533-position model. Lineage: Bacteria; Pseudomonadati; Planctomycetota. The record is from RNAcentral.